Armigeres subalbatus is the source of this 1216-nucleotide long non-coding RNA. RefSeq lists it as uncharacterized. The transcript is spliced from 4 exons. The record is from RefSeq and is a predicted model, not a curated record. NCBI's taxonomy places the organism in Eukaryota, Metazoa, Arthropoda, Insecta, Diptera, Culicidae.
UCUGUGAACGAUAGUGCAGUAGAAACAACGAUCCAUCCGAGUUGUUCGUACCGGAAGUUCUCGCCGCUGGAAUCUCCCACGGAUGUAUCGUCAUCGAGUUUCGAACACAUCACUUCGCGAUAGCCAUGCGGCUGGUCCGACUCCGGCCAAUAUCGUAUUCAAUACAUUUACGACAACCGUUCCGGUUGUUGGGUCGCCUAUCCUGUGAUAGGCUGGUGGAUUGUUCGUGGGGUACAUCCCAUUCGAUUGCAUCUAGGAGGAGAAGAUGCAGCUCUCCCAUGAGCUUGUUCGGUUUGGACCAAACAAUUUCGUUGUUCUGGAGUUUCAUGACAUUCAAUAUCAAUGUCAAGAGACAGUACCCUACACCAGUCCAUGCCUGGAAUGACCGCUGUCAGCCAUACCACGAUCUACCAAAAAAUCUGCGGUGGUUCUACACAGCCGAGCCCGAGCACCUUGAGCCCCACUUUCCGUACAAGAUCAUCAUUGCUGGCCCGCCGAAUUAGUGUCUUUUUGUAGUCUGUAAUUUAUUUAUUCAUGUCUCUUUUCUUCAGAACUGGAACUUUGACACCUCGGCAGGGAAAUAAAAACGAUUGCUGUGAUGGUUUAUUCACACCUCCAGCGUGAUAAACGUGUAAACCCAUGGAAUUUCUGUAGCAGGUUGGUGGAAUAAGGAACUUUCCGGAUGUUUCGAUAUUCGUCCACCGUGUGCUUGGCUGGCGUUGUUUGAUGCGUUUCUCAUCGAUUAACAAAUGGAUUUAUUUGGGCGAUGAAAGGACAAGGUCUUCAUGAUAUCGACACUGAAUUCAAACUCUGAAUCAGCGGUUAUCCUUUGAUCACUUUGUCAAUGGAACUGAAGGGGGCAAAGGUUGAUGCAUCUCCGUUCUAUAGCAGUUCCCCAGAGUCACAGUACCAAGAAAACAGUCGUCGCCCGUUGGCGAACAGCCGGCAGGAUGGUCGAGCAGUUUUGCGCCGGUGGAAUAGUCUCUUGUCAGCAUCGGGAAUUUGCGGUUCAGCUGUAGCACCGUGGUAUGUCUGGGCGACAUUUACGGAUGGGCAUCGCACUUCAACACAAUUAAGGGAAUGAUGAUGGCGGUAACUAAGCUGAGUGGACAUUCCAGUAUUGACCUGAAUAAAUCAAAGUGAAGAUAACAUCUCUCAGUUUUAUUGGUUUAAUUAAAACAAUUUCAAUAACGGAACAAUAAAUAAUGUAACUCGA